CCAGGUGGCCAAAUAGCGAAGGGGAAACACCCGGUCCCAUUCCGAACCCGGCAGUUAAGCCCUUCUGCGCCGAUGGUACUAGGUCCGCGAAGGCCUGGAAGAGUAGGUCGCUGCCUGGU
Molecule: ribosomal RNA, 119 nt
Filed under: Candidatus Acetothermia bacterium
Lineage: Bacteria; Candidatus Bipolaricaulota
Source: RNAcentral